RNAcentral lists this ribosomal RNA (1531 nucleotides) under Salmonella enterica subsp. enterica. Its description in RNAcentral is "bacterial SSU rRNA". It matches the Rfam family "Bacterial small subunit ribosomal RNA". The record is from RNAcentral. RNAcentral also lists the same sequence under 1 other name. Lineage: Bacteria; Pseudomonadati; Pseudomonadota; Gammaproteobacteria; Enterobacterales; Enterobacteriaceae.
AAAUUGAAGAGUUUGAUCAUGGCUCAGAUUGAACGCUGGCGGCAGGCCUAACACAUGCAAGUCGAACGGUAACAGGAAGCAGCUUGCUGCUUUGCUGACGAGUGGCGGACGGGUGAGUAAUGUCUGGGAAACUGCCUGAUGGAGGGGGAUAACUACUGGAAACGGUGGCUAAUACCGCAUAACGUCGCAAGACCAAAGAGGGGGACCUUCGGGCCUCUUGCCAUCAGAUGUGCCCAGAUGGGAUUAGCUAGUUGGUGAGGUAACGGCUCACCAAGGCGACGAUCCCUAGCUGGUCUGAGAGGAUGACCAGCCACACUGGAACUGAGACACGGUCCAGACUCCUACGGGAGGCAGCAGUGGGGAAUAUUGCACAAUGGGCGCAAGCCUGAUGCAGCCAUGCCGCGUGUAUGAAGAAGGCCUUCGGGUUGUAAAGUACUUUCAGCGGGGAGGAAGGUGUUGUGGUUAAUAACCACAGCAAUUGACGUUACCCGCAGAAGAAGCACCGGCUAACUCCGUGCCAGCAGCCGCGGUAAUACGGAGGGUGCAAGCGUUAAUCGGAAUUACUGGGCGUAAAGCGCACGCAGGCGGUCUGUCAAGUCGGAUGUGAAAUCCCCGGGCUCAACCUGGGAACUGCAUUCGAAACUGGCAGGCUUGAGUCUUGUAGAGGGGGGUAGAAUUCCAGGUGUAGCGGUGAAAUGCGUAGAGAUCUGGAGGAAUACCGGUGGCGAAGGCGGCCCCCUGGACAAAGACUGACGCUCAGGUGCGAAAGCGUGGGGAGCAAACAGGAUUAGAUACCCUGGUAGUCCACGCCGUAAACGAUGUCUACUUGGAGGUUGUGCCCUUGAGGCGUGGCUUCCGGAGCUAACGCGUUAAGUAGACCGCCUGGGGAGUACGGCCGCAAGGUUAAAACUCAAAUGAAUUGACGGGGGCCCGCACAAGCGGUGGAGCAUGUGGUUUAAUUCGAUGCAACGCGAAGAACCUUACCUGGUCUUGACAUCCACGGAAGUUUUCAGAGAUGAGAAUGUGCCUUCGGGAACCGUGAGACAGGUGCUGCAUGGCUGUCGUCAGCUCGUGUUGUGAAAUGUUGGGUUAAGUCCCGCAACGAGCGCAACCCUUAUCCUUUGUUGCCAGCGGUCCGGCCGGGAACUCAAAGGAGACUGCCAGUGAUAAACUGGAGGAAGGUGGGGAUGACGUCAAGUCAUCAUGGCCCUUACGACCAGGGCUACACACGUGCUACAAUGGCGCAUACAAAGAGAAGCGACCUCGCGAGAGCAAGCGGACCUCAUAAAGUGCGUCGUAGUCCGGAUUGGAGUCUGCAACUCGACUCCAUGAAGUCGGAAUCGCUAGUAAUCGUGGAUCAGAAUGCCACGGUGAAUACGUUCCCGGGCCUUGUACACACCGCCCGUCACACCAUGGGAGUGGGUUGCAAAAGAAGUAGGUAGCUUAACCUUCGGGAGGGCGCUUACCACUUUGUGAUUCAUGACUGGGGUGAAGUCGUAACAAGGUAACCGUAGGGGAACCUGCGGUUGGA